This 1587-nucleotide ribosomal RNA is filed under the name Escherichia coli. RNAcentral describes it as "bacterial LSU rRNA". It matches the Rfam family "Bacterial large subunit ribosomal RNA", at positions 1254 to 2826 of the family's 2925-position model. The record is from RNAcentral. Lineage: Bacteria; Pseudomonadati; Pseudomonadota; Gammaproteobacteria; Enterobacterales; Enterobacteriaceae.
AGGUGUACUGUGAGGUAUGCUGGAGGUAUCAGAAGUGCGAAUGCUGACAUAAGUAACGAUAAAGCGGGUGAAAAGCCCGCUCGCCGGAAGACCAAGGGUUCCUGUCCAACGUUAAUCGGGGCAGGGUGAGUCGACCCCUAAGGCGAGGCCGAAAGGCGUAGUCGAUGGGAAACAGGUUAAUAUUCCUGUACUUGGUGUUACUGCGAAGGGGGGACGGAGAAGGCUAUGUUGGCCGGGCGACGGUUGUCCCGGUUUAAGCGUGUAGGCUGGUUUUCCAGGCAAAUCCGGAAAAUCAAGGCUGAGGCGUGAUGACGAGGCACUACGGUGCUGAAGCAACAAAUGCCCUGCUUCCAGGAAAAGCCUCUAAGCAUCAGGUAACAUCAAAUCGUACCCCAAACCGACACAGGUGGUCAGGUAGAGAAUACCAAGGCGCUUGAGAGAACUCGGGUGAAGGAACUAGGCAAAAUGGUGCCGUAACUUCGGGAGAAGGCACGCUGAUAUGUAGGUGAAGUCCCUCGCGGAUGGAGCUGAAAUCAGUCGAAGAUACCAGCUGGCUGCAACUGUUUAUUAAAAACACAGCACUGUGCAAACACGAAAGUGGACGUAUACGGUGUGACGCCUGCCCGGUGCCGGAAGGUUAAUUGAUGGGGUCAGCGCAAGCGAAGCUCUUGAUCGAAGCCCCGGUAAACGGCGGCCGUAACUAUAACGGUCCUAAGGUAGCGAAAUUCCUUGUCGGGUAAGUUCCGACCUGCACGAAUGGCGUAAUGAUGGCCAGGCUGUCUCCACCCGAGACUCAGUGAAAUUGAACUCGCUGUGAAGAUGCAGUGUACCCGCGGCAAGACGGAAAGACCCCGUGAACCUUUACUAUAGCUUGACACUGAACAUUGAGCCUUGAUGUGUAGGAUAGGUGGGAGGCUUUGAAGUGUGGACGCCAGUCUGCAUGGAGCCGACCUUGAAAUACCACCCUUUAAUGUUUGAUGUUCUAACGUUGACCCGUAAUCCGGGUUGCGGACAGUGUCUGGUGGGUAGUUUGACUGGGGCGGUCUCCUCCUAAAGAGUAACGGAGGAGCACGAAGGUUGGCUAAUCCUGGUCGGACAUCAGGAGGUUAGUGCAAUGGCAUAAGCCAGCUUGACUGCGAGCGUGACGGCGCGAGCAGGUGCGAAAGCAGGUCAUAGUGAUCCGGUGGUUCUGAAUGGAAGGGCCAUCGCUCAACGGAUAAAAGGUACUCCGGGGAUAACAGGCUGAUACCGCCCAAGAGUUCAUAUCGACGGCGGUGUUUGGCACCUCGAUGUCGGCUCAUCACAUCCUGGGGCUGAAGUAGGUCCCAAGGGUAUGGCUGUUCGCCAUUUAAAGUGGUACGCGAGCUGGGUUUAGAACGUCGUGAGACAGUUCGGUCCCUAUCUGCCGUGGGCGCUGGAGAACUGAGGGGGGCUGCUCCUAGUACGAGAGGACCGGAGUGGACGCAUCACUGGUGUUCGGGUUGUCAUGCCAAUGGCACUGCCCGGUAGCUAAAUGCGGAAGAGAUAAGUGCUGAAAGCAUCUAAGCACGAAACUUGCCCCGAGAUGAGUUCUCCCUGACUCCUUGA